GAAAAGAAACCAACAGGGAUUGCCCCAGUAACGGCGAGUGAAGCGGCAACAGCUCAAAUUUGAAAUCUGGCCCCCAGGGCCCGAGUUGUAAUUUGUAGAGGAUGCUUUUGGCGCGGUGCCUUCCGAGUUCCCUGGAACGGGACGCCAUAGAGGGUGAGAGCCCCGUCUGGUUGGACACCUAGCCUCUGUAAAGCUCCUUCGACGAGUCGAGUAGUUUGGGAAUGCUGCUCUAAAUGGGAGGUAUAUGUCUUCUAAAGCUAAAUACCGGCCAGAGACCGAUAGCGCACAAGUAGAGUGAUCGAAAGAUGAAAAGCACUUUGAAAAGAGGGUUAAAUAGUACGUGAAAUUGUUGAAAGGGAAGCGUUUGUGACCAGACUUGGGCCCGGUUGAUCAUCCACCGUUCUCGGUGGUGCACUCUGCCGGCCCAGGCCAGCAUCAGUUCGCGCCGGGGGAUAAAGGCUUCGGGAAUGUGGCUCCUCCGGGAGUGUUAUAGCCCGUUGUGUAAUACCCUGGUGCGGACUGAGGUUCGCGCUCCGCAAGGAUGCUGGCGUAAUGGUCAUCAGCGACCCGUCUUGAAACACGGACCAAGGAGUCGUCUUCGUAUGCGAGUGUUCGGGUGUCAAACCCCUACGCGUAAUGAAAGUGAACGCAGGUGAGAGCUUCGGCGCAUCAUCGACCGAUCCUGAUGUUCUCGGAUGGAUUUGAGUAAGAGCAUACGGGGCCGGACCCGAAAGAAGGUGAACUAUGCCUGUAUAGGGUGAAGCCAGAGGAAACUCUGGUGGAGGCUCGCAGCGGUUCUGACGUGCAAAUCGAUCGUCAAAUAUGGGCAUGGGGGCGAAAGACUAAUCGAACCUUCUAGUAGCUGGUUUCCGCCGAAGUUUCCCUCAGGAUAGCAGUGUUGAACUCAGUUUUAUGAGGUAAAGCGAAUGAUUAGGGACUCGGGGGCGCUAUUUAGCCUUCAUCCAUUCUCAAACUUUAAAUAUGUAAGAAGCCCUUGUUGCUUAGUUGAACGUGGGCAUUCGAAUGUAUCAACACUAGUGGGCCAUUUUUGGUAAGCAGAACUGGCGAUGCGGGAUGAACCGAACGCGAGGUUAAGGUGCCAGAGUAGACGCUCAUCAGACACCACAAAAGGCGUUAGUACAUCUUGACAGCAGGACGGUGGCCAUGGAAGUCGGAAUCCGCUAAGGACUGUGUAACAACUCACCUGCCGAAUGUACUAGCCCUGAAAAUGGAUGGCGCUCAAGCGUCUCACCCAUACCUCGCCCUCAGGGUAGAAACGAUGCCCUGAGGAGUAGGCGGACGUGGGG
RNAcentral lists this ribosomal RNA (1307 nucleotides) under Niesslia exilis. Its description in RNAcentral is "eukaryotic LSU rRNA". It matches the Rfam family "Eukaryotic large subunit ribosomal RNA", at positions 56 to 1396 of the family's 3401-position model. The record is from RNAcentral. Lineage: Eukaryota; Fungi; Ascomycota; Sordariomycetes; Hypocreales; Niessliaceae.